Molecule: ribosomal RNA, 1110 nt
Filed under: uncultured Beggiatoa sp.
Lineage: Bacteria; Pseudomonadati; Pseudomonadota; Gammaproteobacteria; Thiotrichales; Thiotrichaceae
Description: bacterial SSU rRNA
Rfam family: Bacterial small subunit ribosomal RNA
Source: RNAcentral
UUGUUGGCGAAUUUCCGCCCAGGCCAGAGACCAAUCGGUGUGAGGGGUCGUCUCAGGGGGGGUGGGCCGCCCUGGGGGUUGUGAGAGUUUUGAUUCAUGGCUCGGAUUGAACGCGGGCAGGCAUGCUUAACACAUGCAGGUACUAGAGUUUGAUCAUGGCCAAGUCGUAACAAGGUAAGUCGUAACAAGGUACUAGAGUUAGCUAAUGGUAAUGUAGCAAACAGAUGGAGACAACCCGGGGAAACUCGGGCUAAUACCGCAUACCCCUGCAAAGGAAAAGAGUGCGCAAGCACUCGCUGUCGGAUGAGCCCAUGACCGAUUAGCUAGUUGGUAAGGUAAAAGCUUACCAAGGCAACGAUCGGUAGCUGGUCUGAGAGGAUGAUCAGCCACACUGGGACUGAGACACGGCCCAGACUCCUACGGGAGGCAGCAGUGGGGAAUAUUGGACAAUGGGCGCAAGCCUGAUCCAGCAAUGCCGCGUGUGUGAAGAAGGCCUGCGGGUUGUAAAGCACUUUAGGUUGGGAAGAAAGCCUAUGGAAGACAAAGCCAUAGGGAUGACGUUACCAACAGAAUAAGCACCGGCUAACUCUGUGCCAGCAGCCGCGGUAAUACAGAGGGUGCGAGCGUUAAUCGGAAUUACUGGGCGUAAAGGGUGCGUAGGCGGCUAAAUAAGUCAGAUGUGAAAGCCCUGGGCUUAACCUGGGAACUGCAUUUGAUACUAUCUAGCUAGAGUACAGUAGAGGAUAGUGGAAUUCCCCGGUGUAGCGGUGAAAUGCGUAGAUAUCGGGAGGAACAUCAGUGGCGAAGGCGACUAUCUGGACUGAUACUGACGCUGAGGUACGAAAGCGUGGGGAGCAAACAGGAUUAGAUACCCUGGUAGUCCACGCCCUAAAACGAUGAGAACUAGCUGCUGGGGAGUUCUAUACCUUGAUUAGCGAAGCACACGAUCUAAGUCUCCGUCCUGGGGACUACGGCCGCAAGGUUAAAACUCACAUGAAUUGACGGGGGCCCGCACCAGCGUGGAGCAUGUGGUUUAAUUCGAUGCCACGCGAAGAACCUUACCUGGCUCUUUGACCUCCCGCGAACCUAAGCAGACAUGACUAAGUGCCU